GUGCAGCAGGCGAGAAACCUUCGCAAUGCGGGAAACCGCGACGAGGGGACUCCCAGUGCCUACGCUCAGCGUAGGCUGUUCCCGAGCCUAGAAAGCUCGGGGAGUAAGGGCUGGGUAAGACGGGUGCCAGCCGCCGCGGUAAUACCCGCAGCCCGAGUGGUGGCCACUAUUAUUGGGCCUAAAGCGUCCGUAGCCGGCCCGGUAAAUGCCUGGGUAAAUCGUGAGGCCUAACCUCACGAAUUCCGGGUAGACUGCCGGGCUAGGGGACCGGAGGAGGGGAGAGGGGUACUCCAGGGGUAGGGGUGAAAUCCUGUAAUCCCUGGAGGACCACCGGUGGCGAAGGCGCUCUCCUAGGACGGGUCCGACGGUGAGGGACGAAAGCCAGGGGAGCGAACCGGAUUAGAUACCCCGGUAGUCC
Molecule: ribosomal RNA, 418 nt
Filed under: uncultured microorganism
Description: bacterial SSU rRNA
Rfam family: Archaeal small subunit ribosomal RNA
Source: RNAcentral